This 492-nucleotide ribosomal RNA is filed under the name uncultured bacterium. RNAcentral's name for it is "partial 16S ribosomal RNA". It matches the Rfam family "Bacterial small subunit ribosomal RNA", at positions 29 to 507 of the family's 1533-position model. The record is from RNAcentral.
AGUGAACGCUGGCGGUAGGCCUAACACAUGCAAGUCGAACGGCAGCACAGCAAGAGCUUGCUCUUACGGGUGGCGAGUGGCGGACGGGUGAGGAAUACAUCGGAAUCUACUUUUUCGUGGGGGAUAACGUAGGGAAACUUACGCUAAUACCGCAUACGACCUACGGGUGAAAGCAGGGGAUCUUCGGACCUUGCGCGAUUGAAUGAGCCGAUGUCGGAUUAGAUAGUUGGCGGGGUAAAGGCCCACCAAGGCGACGAUCCGUAGCUGGUCUGAGAGGAUGAUCAGCGACACUGGAACUAGGACACGGUCAAGACUCCUACGGGAGGCAGCAGUGGGGAACUUUGGGCAAUGGGCGAAAGCCUGAUCCAGCCAGACCGCGUGGGGGAAGAAGGCCUUCGGGUUGUAAAGCCCUUUUGUUGGGAAAAAAAAGCAGCAGGUUAAUACCCCGCUGUUCUGACGGUACCCAAAAAAUAAGCACCGGCUAACUUCGUG